This 18-nucleotide small nuclear RNA is filed under the name Arabidopsis thaliana (thale cress). RNAcentral describes it as "snRNA_17555". The record is from RNAcentral. Lineage: Eukaryota; Viridiplantae; Streptophyta; Magnoliopsida; Brassicales; Brassicaceae.
UCCAGCGGCUGGAAGAGC